CGUAGGGUGCGAGCGUUAAUCGGAAUUACUGGGCGUAAAGCGUGCGCAGGCGGUUAUAUAAGACAGAUGUGAAAUCCCCGGGACUCAACCUGGGAACUGCAUUUGUGACUGUAUAGCUAGAGUACGGCAGAGGGGGAUGGAAUUCCGCGUGUAGCAGUGAAAUGCGUAGAUAUGCGGAGGAACACCGAUGGCGAAGGCAAUCCCCUGGGCCUGUACUGACGCUCAUGCACGAAAGCGUGGGGAGCAAACAGGAUUAGAUACCCUGGUAGUCCACGCCCUAAACGAUGUCAACUGGUUGUUGGGUCUUCACUGACUCAGUAACGAAGCUAACGCGUGAAGUUGACCGCCUGGGGAGUACGGCCGCAAGGUUG
Molecule: ribosomal RNA, 371 nt
Filed under: uncultured organism
Description: bacterial SSU rRNA
Rfam family: Bacterial small subunit ribosomal RNA
Source: RNAcentral